Molecule: RNA transcript, 6847 nt
Organism: Columba livia (rock pigeon)
Lineage: Eukaryota; Metazoa; Chordata; Aves; Columbiformes; Columbidae
Gene: ZFC3H1
Gene name: zinc finger C3H1-type containing
Exons: 35
Source: RefSeq, a predicted model, not a curated record
GUGGGGCUGGGGCAGCGCGGGGAGGGGGCGCGGCGCGGGCCGCCCUGCGCAGGAAACGAAAGCGGCCGAGCGGCCGGGGCGGGCCGAGCGGAGCCGAGCCGAGAGCGUUGGCCUGGGCCCCAUGGCGGCCGCGGAGGCCGCGCCUGCGGAGGCGACACUGGAUCCUAGCGGGCUCUCCCCGAAGGAAGAAGGGGAGCUGGAAGACGGCGAAAUCAGCGACGAUGACAACAACGGCUUCAGGCCCGGCGGCGGCGGUGGCUCUGAGCCAGGCGGCAGCCUCGUCAGCAGCAGGCCCUACUCGAGGCGCAGGCCGCCUGCCGGCCUCCGCGGGGGCGCCUCCCUCUGCUCCUCCGGCCAGCGCUUCCCCCGCUCGCGGCACCAGCCCCCACCGGAGAUGGGGCACCUGCACGGCCACGGCGGGUACCGGCCCAAGGACUCGUUCCGCUCCCACCCGCCGCCCAUGCCGGCGCCGCGGAUGCAGUCGGGCUCGCACUCCGAGACGGGCCCCCGGCUCUCCUUCUGGGAGCGCAGCCACAAUGCCUUGGACCGAUUCCGCUUCCGAGGCCGGCCGUACGGGGGCGGAGGGUGGUGGGGCAGGAGCCGAGGCGGCGGCGAUCGGGGAGGCAACCCUCCGGGAAGGCCGCCCGGAGGGGGAGGUGGUGCCGGAUUCAGUGGCAGCCAGGGCUGGAGGGAGCCCUCGCCUCGGAAAUCCAAAACUUUUGGAAGGUCCCCCUCUAGAAAGCAGAACUACUCUUCUAAAAAUGAAAACUCCGUGGAAGAAAGUUUUGAGGAUCUGCUCUUGAAGUAUAAGCAGAUACAAUUAGAGCUUGAAUGCAUUAAUAAAGAUGAAAGACUGGCUUUGAGCAACAAGGAGGAAAGUGAACAGCAAGAUGAUGAUAAAAAAGUGGACACUGAGGACCAAAAAACUGUAGAAAAUAACAGUAUUACAACGGAUGCUAUAAAAGAAGUAUCUCCUGAGGAGAAAAAUCCGGUUGUAGCCUUUCAGGCAUUUGAACUGAAACCUCUCAGACAGAAACUGACUACUCCAGCUGAGAGGAGCAGAUUAAAAAAAGGCAAAGAAGGAACAAAGCAGCCAUCACAAAAAUCUGAAGUCACAGAAUCUGGCCAAGGUGCAGAAGACAAGGAACAAACAUCAGUGCGGAAGCUUAGCAAUUCAGAUGUUACAUCUGAAAAGAAGCUGCUUGAUGAUGAGGAGGAGAUGUCUGAAUUGCAACUUAGGCUUCUUGCACUUCAGUCUGCUAGUAAAAAAUGGCAACAAAAAGAACAACAGGUGAUGAAGGAAAGCAAGGAGAAAUUAACAAAAACGAAAAGUGUAACCCCGAAAGUCAAAGCCAGUACAAAAGCACAUUCAACAAAAAAACCUAGUGCUACAGGCAAGCAAACUUUGAGGAAACAACAGACAAAGACAUCAAAGAAGAUGCAACAGCAAAAGGAGCUAGACAGGCGUCAGAAAGAGGAAGAUCAGAGGAAACAAGAAGAGGAAGAGGAGAGAAGAAAGAGAGAAGAAGAAAUCAGAAAAAUCAGGGACCUCUCAAAUCAAGAAGAGCAGUACAAUCGAUUUAUGAAGCUAGUUGGAGGAAAGAGGAGAUCGAGAAGCAGGUCUUCAGAUACAGACUUGAGAUGGUCUUUGGAUAAGCAGUCUACAGAUAGGGCAGGAGGCAUGUAUCAAUAUGAUAAUUAUGAUGAAGUUGCUAUGGAUACAGAUAGUGAAACUAACUCUCCAGCAUCUUCUCCAGUGCAGCCUCCUUUCUAUGAGUGUCCCAUAGGAUAUUUUCCACCUCCAGUACCACCAAUUUCCUUGCCACUGCCACCUCCAGUUCUACCUGUACCAUCUUUGAGCCAACUUUAUGUGGAGGGUAUUUCUUGUCUUUCUCUUGAGCCACCUCCACCUCUUCCACCUCUUCCCCCUGAAGAACCUGAACAGCCACCAAAGCCUCCAUUUGCAGAUGAGGAAGAGGAAGAGGAGAUGCUCUUAAGAGAAGAAUUACUCAAGUCUCUAGCCAACAAACGAGCUUUCAGAUCUGAGGAAACCUCAAGUAACAGUGGUCCACCUUCCCCUCCUGUUCCAGAUAAUUUGCAGUCUGUGCCAAGAAGUAAUCUCUCCGCUGUCAGUAUUAACACUGUGUCUCAUCCACGGGUACAAAAUACAAAGUUUGUUAGAGUACCCAGGCCUCCAAGAGCAGUGAUCACACUUCCAAAACACAAGUCUGUUGUGGUCACAUUAAAUGAUUCAGAUGAUAGCGAGUCUGAUGGAGAGCCCUCUAACUCCACUAACAGUGUAUUUGGAGGUCUGGAAUCUAUGAUAAAAGAAGCAAGGAGAAAUGUUGAGGCCUCAAAAAUCAAAGCCCCUCCAAAAUCAGAAAAAGAAAAUGAUCCAAUGAGAACUCCAGAAGCUUUACCAGAAGAGAAGAAGAUAGAAUACAGGCUCUUAAAAGAAGAGAUUGCCAGUCGUGAGAAGCAACGCUUAAUUAAAUCUGAUCCUUUGAGGAACAAUUCUUCCCCUGCAAAUUCUGAUGGUGAAGUUGAUGGAGUUGGGAGAAUAGCAGUAGUGACAAAACAAGUUACAGAAGCAGAAGCAAAGCUUGAGAAAAACAGACUUCUAUUGAUGAAAGAUGAAUCUGUCCUGAAACAUUUAUUGCAACAAGAGGCCAAAAAAAGAGAGAAUGUUCGAAUUGCUGAAAAUAAGAUUAACAAGCUGGCGGAACAACUGCAAGCAACAGAGAAGAUUUUGAAUGCUAACAAGAUGUUUCUCAAGAAGCUUCAGGAACAAAUUCAUAAAAUUCAACAACGAGUUACAGUAAAAAAAGCUCUGGCAUUAAAAUAUGGGGAAGAACUUGCUCGAGCAAAAGCAGUAGCAAGUAAGGAAAUUGGGAAAAGAAAACUGGAGCAACAUCAUCUUGGACCAAGCAAAAUGUUGAAAUUGGAGACCUCGCCUGCGUCAAGUCCAAAAAAGCAUUCGGCGGAAUUGAUUGCACUAGAGAAAAAGCGGCUACAGCAACUGGAGUAUGAGUAUGCUCUGAAGAUUCAGAAACUUAAGGAGGCCCGCGCACUUCAAACUAAGGAACAAUCAAAUAUUGCACCUCAUGCAGAAGAGGAAUCUGACUUUUCAUUACCUCAGCCAUCGCUUCAUGAUCUUACACAAGAUAAAUUGUCUUUGGACAGUGAGGAAAACUACUUUGAUGAUGAAGUUCUGUCUAAUUCAAACCGAGAACGAAGGAGGUCUUUCAGAGAAUCUAAUUCUUUUACUAAACCAAAUCUUAAACACAUGGACACUCCAAAACAAGAAACUAUAAACAAACUUUCUAAAAAGGCAUCAGAGGAGCCUGAGUUGUUCCUUGGGUUAAAUGUUGAUGAACUGAAAAAACUUUAUGCUAAAGCUGACAGCUUGAAAGAGCUGCUGCAGAAAAGUACUGCCUCUAUAGUACCCAAGGAAGAUCUGUUAUGUGGUCAGGAAAUUUCAGUGGAUAUGGAUUUUGUUACGUCGCAAAAUAAACAAACUGAAGUGAAACCAUUUCCAUUUGGACCGUAUCAUAGUCCUCUUCUAGUAUUUAAAUCCUACAGGUUUAGUCCGUAUUUUCGAACUAAGGAAAAACUGUACCUCAGUUCAGUAACAUAUAGCAAUAUGAUUGAGCCAAAACAGUGUUUCUGCCGUUUUGAUUUAACAGGCACAUGUAAUGAUGAUGACUGCCAGUGGCAGCACAUGAAAGACUGCACUCUUAGCCGCACGCAACUGUUUCAAGAUAUUCUAUCUUACGAUUUAGAACUGAUUGGCUGUUCAGAAAAAAGCACUGAUGAGGAAAUCAGCACUGCCACAGAAAAAUAUGUUGAAAAACUUUUUGGUAUAAACAGAGACCGUAUGUCAGUGGAUCAGAUGGCUGUUCUUCUGGCCAGUAAUGUCAAUGAGAGUAAAAGUCACACACCUCCAUUUACAACGUGGAAAGAUAAAAGGAAAUGGAGACCAAAGUACUGGAGAAAACCUCUGUUAGAUAGUAGCAGCGGUGAAGAGGAACAGUGUGGUGGACCUAUUAAAUAUGCCAAUCCCACAGAACAUAAAAAAAGAAUCCCGGCUCUUGAUGCUGUGGUGACUCCAGAUGACGUCCGGUAUUUCACAAGUGAGACUGAUGACAUUUCCAACUUGGAGGCAAGUGUUCAAGAAAACCCCUGUGAUGUACAGCUUUGGAUUAAACUUGCAUACAAAUACUUGAAUCAAAAUGAAGGGUCAUCAUCUGAGUGUUUAGAUUCUACUUUAAAUGUUUUGGCUCGAGCCCUUGAGAACAACAAAGAAAACCCUGAAAUUUGGUGUCAUUACCUCAGACUCUUCUCAAAAAGAGGAACCAAGGAGGAGAUACAGGAAAUGUGUGAAACAGCAGUAGAAUAUGCUGCCUCUUACCAAAUCUGGUGGACAUUUUUGAAUUUGGAGAAUUCCUUUGAUGGAAAAGACUAUGUAUGUGGGAGGAUGCUGCAGUUCCUAAUGGAAGUGAGAGAAGAAAAUCCAAAUCUUGUGUCCUUUCAGCUGCUGGAGACUCUCCUGUACAGGGUCCACUUAAGCCUGUUUACAGGAAGACAUCAGAAUGCUCUUGUUCUGCUGCAGAAUGCUUUAAAAUCAGCAAGUGAAAAAACAAUAUCAAAACACCUUGUUGUAAGUGACCGUUGCUUGGCUUGGCUGGCUUACAUACAUCUGACUGAAUUCGGCUGUCUCCCAGGCAAGUUCUAUGAUCCAGCCAAUGUCAGUCCUUCAAGGAUGAUGAACAAAGAGCCAUUUUUAAUACCAUGGCAAACAGCUGAAGAUGUGAAGACUGAUCCUGAUAUGCUAUUAGCUAUGUUUGAAGAUGCAGUCAAAACAUGUACUGAUGAAAGCCUUGAGGCUGACAAAAGAAUAGCUAUCUGUUUUCCUCUCUACAAAAACAUGAUAGCUUUGCUGAAACUUCUUGAAAGGUGGGAGUCUGCUGCAGAACGUUGUAGAUCUUUAUUGGAGCUCUGCCCUAACAACUGUCAGCUCUUGGAGAGUUUGGCCACCUUGUAUUUGCAGAUGGGGCAGAGUGACAAUGCUUACGAAGUGUGGAUUGGAGCGUUUGAGAAGAAUCCUCAGAAUGCAGAAAUUUUUUAUCAGUUGUGUAAAUUCCUUGUUUCACAGGAAAGGUCAAGCAGUAUUCUUCCACUGUUGCAAGAAUUUGUGGCAGCUUUCUUUGAGAAUACAUGCCAACAGCACAGUCCCAUGGAUCUCUUAAGAUAUCUCUUGAAUUUUCCAAUGCCAAUUGAAUUUACAUCACCUCUCUAUAAAGAACAUCUUACCGAUGAUGUUGUAAACCAGCAAAUCCCGUAUCUGUGGCAGAUCUACUGUUUAUGCCAGUCUCUUCAUGCAAGUUUUGGUGAAGCACUGGAUGCUUACGAAGCAGCUCUGGGGGCAGUGAUGCAGCAGGAAACUGUUCAGAACAUCUGGCUGGAUUACCUUGUUUUUAUCAAUAGCAAAGUUGUUGGAUCCAACAACAAAGCCCAAGAAUUCAAGCUUUUUACCGACCUAGUGAACAGAUGUCUGGUUACAGUCCCCACACGAUACCCAAUUCCUUUUAGUACUGCUGAUUAUUGGACCAAUUACGAGUUUCAUAAUAAGGUUAUUCUUUUUUAUUUGAGCUGCAUUCCAAAAUCUCAACAUUCCAAAACCUUGGAACGGUUUUGUUCUACCAUGCCUGCUAAUCCUGGACUUGCGCUGAGACUGCUGCUGCAAUACUGGGAGGAGAGCAAUGUUCAAAUUCUGAAACUGCAAGCCAAGAUGUUUACAUAUAAUAUCCCAACAUGCCUGGCCAUCUGGAAAAUGUAAUGCAACAGUCAUACAUCUGUUUUCAUAGAUAUUGCUUUUGUUUAUAAGGUUUACAUCACAAAGAGCCAUUGCUGCCGAAUGCUUUCUAAGGGGACAAAGAGAAGUCCAUCACUUAUAUCAGAGAGCCCUUCAGAAGUUACCUCUAUGUGCAACACUGUGGAAAGAUCAACUCUUGUUUGAAGCAUCAGGAGGAGGUAAAACUGAUAACCUGAGAAAACUAGUUUCCAAGUGCCAAGAGGUUGGAGUCAGCCUAGAUGAGCUUUUAAAUUUAAACACUUACAGAACAGAAAGCAAGAAUCGCUGAACGCUGGGUACGGUCAGCCAUAAGUCCUAUUAAAUGCCAAAAUCAGUUGAAUGAUUCUUCAGGCUGAUCCGUGCCUAAGAUCUGUGUAAGGCAGAUGAGUAUUGCUGAGCAUAUUGAGUCUCCAGUCUGCUCUCCUUCAACCUGGAAACAAUUAACAUGACCCUCCUGUGGAAAAAUGAACUCCCUGUCUGGCCUUGCUUCUGGGCCCUGCCAGAUUCUCAUAACGUCAUGUACGUAAGUAUAGUUAAUCAAAAUGACAGACAUUAUUUUUUUAUGUUUUUAUUUUCUGUUUUCUUUGUUUUGCUGUUCCUGAUUCACUUGACACUCUCGCUGAUGCCUGAGAGAUCUGUGUUUGGGAUUAAUUUACUGGGCCGUGUUUACAGUAAAAAGCAAGUAGUCCAUUUUGGGUUUUUCCUUUUUUAAACCUUUUUUGAGACUUUUUCAUUACAGGAUUUAAAACAAAAGCAGCCGCUCUUAAGGAAAGUGUAACUGCCGUGGCCACAAGUAUGCUUCUUGCACUUGAAGGCUCUAAGAGGGUUGCUUACUGCCCCUUUCUGCAUUGGACUCACGGCAGAGACUAUUAAACUUGAAGAUUAAAGAAACUAUUGCAAAUGCCAGUGCAUCAGAACCUAAGAGUGGUCAAUUAUGUGCAAUUUUUUGUAAAGAAAUUUUAAUUUAUAAUAAAGUUUAACACUUUAAAGAAA